This 747-nucleotide ribosomal RNA is filed under the name Rhodococcus (subgen. Prescottella) equi. Its description in RNAcentral is "Rhodococcus hoagii partial 23S ribosomal RNA". It matches the Rfam family "Bacterial large subunit ribosomal RNA", at positions 1 to 675 of the family's 2925-position model. The record is from RNAcentral. Lineage: Bacteria; Bacillati; Actinomycetota; Actinomycetes; Mycobacteriales; Nocardiaceae.
ACAGUGGACGCGAGCAUCUUUGUUGUAAGUGUUUAAGAGCGUACGGUGGAUGCCUUGGCACCAGGAGCCGAUGAAGGACGUAGGAGGCUGCGAUAAGCCUCGGGGAGCUGUCAACCGAGCUGAGAUCCGAGGAUGUCCGAAUGGGGAAACCCAGCCACAGUGAUGUGUGGUUACCCGCGCCUGAAUAUAUAGGGCGUGUGGAGGGAACGUGGGGAAGUGAAACAUCUCAGUACCCACAGGAAGAGAAAACAACAUGUGAUUCCGUGAGUAGUGGCGAGCGAAAGCGGAAGAGGCUAAACCAUGGGUGUGUGAUAGCCGGCGGGCGUUGCAUUCGUGGGGUUGUGGGAUCCGUCUUGUCAAUUCUGCCGGAUUGGCGACAGUGAGAAAUCAUCGUGUUAGUCGAAGUGGUCUGGAACGGCCUGUCGUAGAGGGUGAGAGUCCCGUAGACGAAAACAUGGUGACUGUCGUGACGGACACCGAGUAGCAGCGGGCCCGUGAAAUCUGCUGUGAAUCUGUCGGGACCACCCGAUAAGCCUGAAUACUCCCUGGUGACCGAUAGCGGACUAGUACCGUGAGAAAGGUGAAAAGUACCCGGGAGGGGAGUGAAAUAGUACCUGAAACGUGCGCUUACAAUCCGUCAGAGCCUGCGCCACUUCGGUGGGUGGGUGAUGGCGUGCCUUUUGAAGAAUGAGCCUGCGAGUUAGCGGCAUGUCGCGAGGUUAAACCGUGUGGGGUAGCCGUAGCGAA